RNAcentral lists this unclassified non-coding RNA (232 nucleotides) under Hevea brasiliensis (rubber tree). The record is from RNAcentral. Lineage: Eukaryota; Viridiplantae; Streptophyta; Magnoliopsida; Malpighiales; Euphorbiaceae.
CUCACAACCAAGUUGGCGCUAUCCUGAGACAUUUUAUUGAUAAUGCUUAAUAAAUUUGAAUCAAGGGCAUAUUCAACAUUAAAGUGCAUAUAUGAAGAAUAUUAGCAACAUCAAGGACCAGGAACAAAGGUGUUGAACCAUUAUCUUUUCUUCAACAAGCAAUGAGUUUUUAUAAGAUUAAUAGUUUCAUCAGACCAAACUAAUGCAUGGAGAUAUCAUUGGCUAUACAUAC